GACGAACGCUGGCGGUGUGCUUAACACAUGCAAGUCGAACGGUAAGGCCCUUUCGGGGGUACACGAGUGGCGAACGGGUGAGUAACACGUGAGUAACCUGCCCUCAUCUCUGGGAUAACAGUCGGAAACGGUUGCUAAUACUGGAUAUGAGCUUGCAAGGCAUCUUGUGGGUUGGAAAGAUUUUUUUUGGUUGGGGAUGGACUCGCGGCCUAUCAGCUUGUUGGUGAGGUAGUGGCUCACCAAGGCUUCGACGGGUAGCCGGCCUGAGAGGGCGACCGGCCACAUUGGGACUGAGAUACGGCCCAAACUCCUACGGGAGGCAGCAGUGGGGAAUAUUGCACAAUGGACGGAAGUCUGAUGCAGCAACGCCGCGUGCGGGAUGACGGCCUUCGGGUUGUAAACCGCUUUCAAUUGUGACGAAGCUUUUUGUGACGGUAGCAGUAGAAGAAGCACCGGCUAACUACGU
Molecule: ribosomal RNA, 466 nt
Filed under: uncultured bacterium
Lineage: Bacteria
Description: partial 16S ribosomal RNA
Rfam family: Bacterial small subunit ribosomal RNA
Source: RNAcentral